GACCGAAAAGCUAGCCCGCCCCUUCUAUCAAAAGCCGCAUCUAACUGACAUUUAAUGAAUUUAACGCACAAAUUAAACCAUUCUUCGACCCUAGUAUGGGAGACAGAAAAGGAACGAGGAGCUAUAGAGAAAGUACCGCAAGGGAAAGCUGAAAAAGAACUGAAACAAAUCAGUCAAGUCACUUAAAGCAAAGACUAAAACUUGUACCUUUUGCAUCAUGAAUUAGCUAGUCCCACCAGGCAAAAGGCACUAUAGUCUGGACCCCCGAAACUUAAUGAGCUACUUCAGGACAGCCUUCGACUGGGCAAACCCGUCUCUGUGGCAAAAGAGUGGGAAGAUCCUUAAGUAGCGGUGACAGACCUAUCGAAUUAAGUUAUAGCUGGUUGCUCAUGAAAUGAAUAGAAGUUCAGCCUUUAUCUUUCUAAAGACAAGCCUAGCACUUCUUGACACCGUUUAAUAGAAUGAUAAAGAGUUAAUCAAACAGGGUACAGCCUUUUUGAUAAAAGACACAACUUUACUAGGAGGAUAAGGAUCAUAUCCAUUAAGACAUCUAUGCCCAGGUGGGCCUAAAAGCAGCCACCCUAGAUAAUAGCGUUAAAGCUUAAGCAUAAUUUACGCCUACAAUAACGACACCUAAUCCCAAUCCCCUUAUAUCAGUGAGCCGCUUCAUAUAAUGAAAGAGAUUCUGCUAGUAUGAGUAAUAAGAGGUCCCUGAGCCUCUCCACGCUCACGUGUACAUCGGAACGAACCAAUCGCCGAAUAUUAACGACCCCAAGAAAAGAGGGCUAAGCCGGACUAUACAACUAACAAGAAGGCCCCGGCACCUUAAUCGUUAACCCCACACAGGAGUGCACCCUUGGAAAGAUAAAAAGGAGGAAAAGGAACUCGGCAAACAUGUCUUAGCCUCGCCUGUUUACCAAAAACAUCGCCUCUUGAAAAGUACUAAUGAGAGGUCCCGCCUGCCCUGUGACUCUAACGUUUAACGGCCGCGGUAUUUUGACCGUGCAAAGGUAGCGCAAUCACUUGCCUUUUAAAUGAAGGCCCGUAUGAAUGGCAUAACGAGGGCUUAACUGUCUCUUUCUCCCUAUCAAUGAAAUUGAUCUCCCCGUGCAGAAGCGAGGAUAAGAACAUAAGACGAGAAGACCCUGUGGAGCUUUAGACCAUGACUAGACCAUGUUAAGGAUUAUAAACACAAACCUCAAACAAAUUGGGAGCUACUCUAAUGUCUUUGGUUGGGGCGACCGCGGGGAAAUAAAUAACCCCCAUGUGGAUUAGGAACACACAUUCUUAAAACUAAGAGCCACCACUCUAAGAGUCAGAACAUCUGGCCUUGUGAUCCGGACAUCCGAUCAACGAACCUAGUUACCCCAGGGAUAACAGCGCAAUCCUCUUUUAGAGCCCAUAUCGACAAGGGGGUUUACGACCUCGAUGUUGGAUCAGGACAUCCUAAUGGUGCAGCCGCUAUUAAGGGUUUGUUUGUUCAACAAUUAAAGUCCUACGUGAUCUGAGUUCAGACCGGAGUAAUCCAGGUCAGUUUCUAUCUAUGAAGUCCCCCCUUCUAGUACGAAAGGACCGAAGAGGGAAGGCCCCUGGACCCCCACGCCUUGAUCCCACCUAAUGAAAAAAGCUAAAUAAGGUAAGAGAUUACACCCUGUAAUCAUAGAGUAUGAUAU
RNAcentral lists this ribosomal RNA (1673 nucleotides) under Oryzias javanicus (javanese ricefish). RNAcentral describes it as "large subunit ribosomal RNA". It matches the Rfam family "Bacterial large subunit ribosomal RNA". Lineage: Eukaryota; Metazoa; Chordata; Actinopteri; Beloniformes; Adrianichthyidae. The record is from RNAcentral.